RNAcentral lists this ribosomal RNA (1368 nucleotides) under uncultured bacterium. Its description in RNAcentral is "bacterial SSU rRNA". It matches the Rfam family "Bacterial small subunit ribosomal RNA", at positions 38 to 1398 of the family's 1533-position model. The record is from RNAcentral.
GGCGGCGUGCUUAACACAUGCAAGUCGAACGAAGCACUUUAUUUGAUUUCCUUCGGGACUGAUUAUUUUGUGACUGAGUGGCGGACGGGUGAGUAACGCGUGGGUAACCUGCCUUGUACAGGGGGAUAACAGUUGGAAACGGCUGCUAAUACUGCAUAAGCGCACAGCAUCGCAUGAUGCAGUGUGAAAAACUCCGGUGGUAUAAGAUGGACCCGCGUUGGAUUAGCUAGUUGGUGAGGUAACGGCCCACCAAGGCGACGAUCCAUAGCCGACCUGAGAGGGCGACCGGCCACAUUGGGACUGAGACACGGCCCAAACUCCUACGGGAGGCAGCAGUGGGGAAUAUUGCACAAUGGGCGAAAGCCUGAUGCAGCGACGCCGCGUGAGCGAAGAAGUAUUUCGGUAUGUAAAGCUCUAUCAGCAGGGAAGAUAAUGACGGUACCUGACUAAGAAGCACCGGCUAAAUACGUGCCAGCAGCCGCGGUAAUACGUAUGGUGCAAGCGUUAUCCGGAUUUACUGGGUGUAAAGGGAGCGCAGGCGGUGCGGCAAGUCUGAUGUGAAAGCCCGGGGCUCAACCCCGGUACUGCAUUGGAAACUGUCGUACUAGAGUGUCGGAGGGGUAAGCGGAAUUCCUAGUGUAGCGGUGAAAUGCGUAGAUAUUAGGAGGAACACCAGUGGCGAAGGCGGCUUACUGGACGAUAACUGACGCUGAGGCUCGAAAGCGUGGGGAGCAAACAGGAUUAGAUACCCUGGUAGUCCACGCCGUAAACGGAAGAAAUAAUAGGUGUUGGGAAGCAUUGCUUCUCGGUCCCGUCGCAAACGCCGUAAGUAUUCCACCCUGGGGGAGUACGUUUGCAAGAAUGAAACUCAAAGGAAUUGAACGGGGACCCCCCCAAGGCGGUGGAAGCAUGUGGUUUAAUUCGAAGCAACGCGAAGAACCUUACCAAGUCUUGACAUCCUUCUGACCGGUACUUAACCGUACCUUCUCUUCGGAGCAGGAGUGACAGGUGGUGCAUGGUUGUCGUCAGCUCGUGUCGUGAGAUGUUGGGUUAAGUCCCGCAACGAGCGCAACCCUUAUCUUUAGUAGCCAGCGGUCCGGCCGGGCACUCUAGAGAGACUGCCAGGGAUAACCUGGAGGAAGGCGGGGAUGACGUCAAAUCAUCAUGCCCCUUAUGACUUGGGCUACACACGUGCUACAAUGGCGUAAACAAAGGGAAGCAAAGCUGUGAAGCCGAGCAAAUCUCAAAAAUAACGUCUCAGUUCGGACUGUAGUCUGCAACCCGACUACACGAAGCUGGAAUCGCUAGUAAUCGCAGAUCAGAAUGCUGCGGUGAAUACGUUCCCGGGUCUUGCACACAGCGCCCGUC